UUUCCGUAGGUGAACCUGCGGAAGGAUCAUUCAUAAUAAAGUGUUUUAUGGCACUUUUUAAAAAUCCAUAUCCACCUUGUGUGCAAUGUUAGAUCUCGUCAAUCUUGGCGAGGUUUUUAUACAUCAACUCAUUCUUUAACUAAUUUGUCUGAAAAAUAUUAUGAAUGCUUAAUUCAAAAUACAACUUUCAACAACGGAUCUCUUGGCUCUC
This 211-nucleotide unclassified non-coding RNA is filed under the name plant metagenome. Its description in RNAcentral is "partial contains small subunit ribosomal RNA, internal transcribed spacer 1, and 5.8S ribosomal RNA". The record is from RNAcentral.